This 460-nucleotide ribosomal RNA is filed under the name uncultured bacterium. RNAcentral describes it as "partial 16S ribosomal RNA". It matches the Rfam family "Bacterial small subunit ribosomal RNA", at positions 338 to 795 of the family's 1533-position model. The record is from RNAcentral.
CCUACGUGUGGCAGCAGUGAGGAAUAUUGGUCAAUGGGCGCAAGCCUGAACCAGCCAAGCAGCGUGAAGGAUGACUGCCCUAUGGGUUGUAAACUUCUUUUGUACAGGAAUAAAGCUAGAUACGUGUGUUUAUCUGAAAGUACUGUACGAAUAAGGAUCGGCUAACUCCGUGCCAGCAGCCGCGGUAAUACGGAGGAUCCGAGCGUUAUCCGGAUUUAUUGGGUUUAAAGGGUGCGUAGGCGGGUUGUUAAGUUAGUGGUGAAAUGUUGCGGCUUAACCGUGGAACUGCAUUUAAUACUGGCAGUCUUGAGUGUAGAUGAGGUAGGCGGAAUGCAUGGUGUAGCGGUGAAAUGCUUAGAGAUCACAAAGAACUCCGAUUGCGAAGGCAGCUUACUAAUCUAUAUCUGACGUUGAGGCACGAAAGUGUGGGUAGCAAACAGGAUUAGAUACCCGAGUAGUC